AGAUUCCUAAUGCUAGAACUGGAACUGGUCUUCCAUCUCCAACGUUCAGGAACCUCUCACCUUGCUCGAAUCUCCUACUGACCUGCAACCCCUGCAACGAAUUGCAAAUAUGGUAAGGGCUACCGGUAUCCAAUACCCAGUCAGUUAUAUCACAAAUAGAGAUAUUGCAAGGAGUUAUCAUAUAAAUACCUUGCCCAGCAACAACUUGCUGCUUUCUCUGCCUGUUCGGGUCUAGGGAGGCAAUGUACUGGGGACAGUUCCUCUUUCAGUGCCUCCGCUUCUUGUAAAAGAAGCAUUCAGCUUGACUCUUAUCGGGUUUGAUCUUUUUGGUUUGACACUGCACAGAUGUCCCAGCCUGAACUUACACCUUCUUCACUUUCUUCUUCUUGUUCUUCUUCCCUUUCUUAAAGGGUCGAGAACCAGAAGACGAACCUCCCUCUAAGUUCACCGACUCCUUAUGGAGUUGGUGAUCUUUCUCAAAGUUCUGAAGUAACCCCAGUAAUCCGUGAUAGUUUACUUCAGGCUUUGUCAUUCUAUAAUGAGUGAGGAAUGGGAGAUAAGACUUGGGCAGCGAGUUCAGUAUUGCAUCUUUUCCAAGCUGCUCAUGCAAGGAAAAGNN
This 619-nucleotide long non-coding RNA is filed under the name Elaeis guineensis (African oil palm). Its description in RNAcentral is "long non-coding RNA (EGUI_LNC049623)". Lineage: Eukaryota; Viridiplantae; Streptophyta; Magnoliopsida; Arecales; Arecaceae. The record is from RNAcentral.